UACAGAGGGUGCGAGCGUUAAUCGGAAUUACUGGGCGUAAAGCGCACGUAGUCGGCUUUGCAAGUCGGUUGUGAAAUCCCCGGGCUCAACCUGGGAACUGCAUCCGAGACUGCAUUGCUAGAGUAUGGGAGAGGAAAGCGGAAUUUCUGGUGUAGCAGUGAAAUGCGUAGAUAUCGGGAGGAACAUCAGUGGCGAAGGCGGCUGCCUGGCCCAAUACUGACACUCAGGUGCGACAGCGUGGGGAGCAAACAGG
This 253-nucleotide ribosomal RNA is filed under the name uncultured bacterium. Its description in RNAcentral is "partial 16S ribosomal RNA". It matches the Rfam family "Bacterial small subunit ribosomal RNA", at positions 524 to 776 of the family's 1533-position model. The record is from RNAcentral.